CCGCCUCCUACUAUGAAACCCUAAAUUUUUGAUUCACUAUUGAGCAUCCCUGCCCAUCCUUAUGAAAACCUUAUCGCUGACGUGUAUUUUCUUUCACCCACUAUAAACAAUUCCAUCGCCAGAAGCUUCAACCAUGAUAUCAGCAUUUAGGGCUUUCCAUUAUGGCAGUGCAUUUGGGGAACAUCAUAAAGUUGAAGACAUAAGGCAAUGAAUUCACAAGUAGGGCAAGCAACGACUUCAAUGUAUGAAAAUAUGCAAAGGCGGCCUUUUAUCAUUGGUAUGCAUAAUGUAUUGCAGCAAGAACACGUCUUGAUUACUUGUAUAGUUUCGGCAUGCUACUAAAUUAAAAUCAUGUUGAGUAUGAUUUAUAUACCUUAAAGCACAUGUGCAUAGGAACUUCUUGUAUAGUCUAAUCUUUGAAAGGCUUAGUAUUGUCAUACAUGUUAUAAAAGAUUUUGAUCAACAAUGAGGGCUUGUUGAUGGUACAACUUCAAGGAAA
RNAcentral lists this long non-coding RNA (499 nucleotides) under Helianthus annuus (common sunflower). Lineage: Eukaryota; Viridiplantae; Streptophyta; Magnoliopsida; Asterales; Asteraceae. The record is from RNAcentral.